ACGUUUCUGGACAGAAAGACAGGUGGUGCAUGGUUGUCGUCAGCUCGUGUCGUGAGAUGUUGGGUUAAGUCCCGCAACGAGCGCAACCCCUACGGUUAGUUGCUAACGGGUAAGGCCGAGCACUUUAGCCGAACUGCCGUUGACAAACGGAGGAAGGCGGGGAUGACGUCAAAUCAUCAUGCCCUUUAUGUCCUGGGCUACAAACGUGAUACAAUGGCUGAAACAAAGGGCAGCGAAGCAGUGAUGUGGAGCGAAACCCAAAAAGCAGUCUCAGUUCGGAUUGAAGUCUGCAACUCGACUUCAUGAAGUCGGAAUCGCUAGUAAUCGCGGAUCAGAACGCCGCGGUGAAUACGUUCUCGGGUUU
RNAcentral lists this ribosomal RNA (364 nucleotides) under uncultured Desulfotomaculum sp. RNAcentral's name for it is "bacterial SSU rRNA". It matches the Rfam family "Bacterial small subunit ribosomal RNA", at positions 1016 to 1381 of the family's 1533-position model. Lineage: Bacteria; Bacillati; Bacillota; Clostridia; Eubacteriales; Desulfotomaculaceae. The record is from RNAcentral.